Molecule: ribosomal RNA, 433 nt
Filed under: uncultured bacterium
Lineage: Bacteria
Description: partial 16S ribosomal RNA
Rfam family: Bacterial small subunit ribosomal RNA
Source: RNAcentral
AACGAACGCUGGCGGCAGGCCUAACACAUGCAAGUCGAGCGCGCCCUUCGGGGUGAGCGGCGGACGGGUGAGUAACGCGUGGGAACGUGCCCUUCUCUGCGGAAUAGCCUCGGGAAACUGAGAGUAAUACCGCAUACGCCCUUUGGGGGAAAGAUUUAUCGGAGAAGGAUCGGCCCGCGUUGGAUUAGGUAGUUGGUGGGGUAAUGGCCCACCAAGCCGACGAUCCAUAGCUGGUUUGAGAGGAUGAUCAGCCACACUGGGACUGAGACACGGCCCAGACUCCUACGGGAGGCAGCAGUGGGGAAUCUUAGACAAUGGGGGCAACCCUGAUCUAGCCGUGCCGCGUGAGUGAUGAAGGCCUUAGGGUUGUAAAGCUCUUUCAGCUGGGAAGAUAAUGACGGUACCAGCAGAAGAAGCCCCGGCUAACUCCGUG